AAGCUCACUUCUACCAGCAUAUAUACCGAAAUUGGAACAAUUCAGAGAUUAGCAUGGCCCUUCCUUAAGAAUGAUAAGCAAAUUCGUGAAGCAUUUCAUAUUAAA
RNAcentral lists this small nuclear RNA (105 nucleotides) under Chinchilla lanigera (long-tailed chinchilla). The record is from RNAcentral. Lineage: Eukaryota; Metazoa; Chordata; Mammalia; Rodentia; Chinchillidae.